CAGUAGCCGCGGGAAUACAGAGGGUGCAAGCGUUAAUCGGAAUUACUGGGCGUAAAGCGCGCGUAGGUGGUUUGUUAAGUUGGAUAUGAAAUCCCCGGGCUAAACCUGGGAACUGCAUCCAAAACUGGCAAGCUAGAGUAUGGUAGAGGGUGGUGGAAUUUCCUGUGUAGCGGUGAAAUGCGUAGAUAUAGGAAGGAACACCAGUGGCGAAGGCGACCACCUGGACUGAUACUGACACUGAGGUGCGAAAGCGUGGGGAGCAAACAGGAUUAGAUACCCGCGUAGUCCCUGUCUCUUAUAC
Molecule: ribosomal RNA, 301 nt
Filed under: uncultured bacterium
Lineage: Bacteria
Description: partial 16S ribosomal RNA
Rfam family: Bacterial small subunit ribosomal RNA
Source: RNAcentral